This 1476-nucleotide long non-coding RNA is filed under the name Macaca fascicularis (crab-eating macaque). Its description in RNAcentral is "lncRNA (ENSMFAG00000060353.1)". The record is from RNAcentral. Lineage: Eukaryota; Metazoa; Chordata; Mammalia; Primates; Cercopithecidae.
UUAAGAGACAAAAUGGCAGAGUAUGACCUUCCGGGGACACUCCACCGGAAAAGGGAAGAAAGCCUCAGAUGAGCACGCACACAACUUCCUAAACACCCUGCCGCGCGCCCGCCUCUGAGCAUAAGAAAGGCACUGCGCAUGCGGGCGGCCCACCCUACGGGAAGAAUCAUCUGAAAGGCGCCAGCCUAAAAGUCCUACGAUCAAGGUUAAACACUGCACUUGACCUCAGUGUCCACUUGGGUCUCUUCCUAAAGUGCUUUUCUUUCUUUCCUGUUCUAAAGCCUUUUUACAUAAACUUCCACUCCUGCUCUGAAACUUGCCCCAGUCUCUUUUUCUUCCUUGUGCCCCUCAGUUGAAUUCUUUCUUCUGAGAAGGCAAGGAUUGAGGUCGCUGCAGACACGUACAGAUUUGUCACCAGUAAUUCGGAUACCGUUCACCUUUCAUCGUAGAGAAGAAGAAAGCCUAUAAGCUAAUCAGCCACCCAAAACUAUACCCAGAGCCAUCCUGAACUUACCUUGAUGCUCCUAUGCUGCAUACUACAGGUGGCUAUCUUCCUCAGCAUGACACCAGAUUAUGUUACUCCCAUUCACCCUUCCUGGAUCAUUUAAAAUGUCAUCUCCGCGGGCCAUGACCUUUUGAGUCUGGUCUGGCCACCAUUUCUCAUGCUCUUAUAGCACUGAUCAGGAGUUCACAUCCGCUUUUAUUUUCUUCAGACCUUGCCUUUACCUCCAUUCCCUUGCUAUAUCAUUCCAUCAAACUCUGCUUGACGGUUUCUAACAAAUAUAAAUAUCUCUAGAAUUUAAGGUCAGGAAAAAAAAAAGGAGAUUUCAUUAUGUUCAAAUGAAAAGGCUUGAGCACAUUAGUAAACUCAGUAGACAAAGGAGUUCUACUCUGGACAAAAUUGAAAUCAGCAAUGUAUUUGGAAAAAAAGUGUGAAGUGCAGCUCUGAAUACAGUUAACCUUUUCUUCAGAAACUGAGAAUGAUGUGUAUAUGCUGAGAUGAUAUUGUGAAGUGUUAACUUGUAAUUCUCCCUAAAACUGCCCCUCAUACCUCUCCUCAUUCAGGCUGCUGAACAGGAGCAUUGCCUGAACCAUGUUCCAUGUUGUCAUCCCAACACACACAGAGAACUAGGGGAUCACAUUUUAGCUUCUUAAAAGUUUCUUGACUGAGGCUGGGUGUGGUGGCGCAUGCCUGUAAUUCCAGCACUUUGAGAGGCCAAGGUGGGCAGAUCCCCUGAGGUCAGGCGUUCAAGACCAGCCUGGCCAACAUGGUGAAACCCCAUCUCUACAAAAAUACAAAAAUUAGCCAGGCAUGAUGCUGGGUGCCUGUAAUCCCAGUUACUCAGAAGGCUGAGGCAGGAGAAUCACUUGAACCCAGGAGGCAGAGGUUGCAGUGAGCCGAUAUCCUGCCAUUGCACUCCAGCCUGGGCGACAGAGCAAGACUCCAUCUCGAAAAAAAAAAAAGAAAAGAAAAAA